Molecule: long non-coding RNA, 2035 nt
Filed under: Monodelphis domestica (gray short-tailed opossum)
Lineage: Eukaryota; Metazoa; Chordata; Mammalia; Didelphimorphia; Didelphidae
Description: lncRNA (ENSMODG00000043864.1)
Source: RNAcentral
AGUGCCUUCUUUCUGAAACUGGGCAAUUGGAUGGUAUGUUAUAUAGAGUGCUUGACUUGGACUCAGGUAGACCCGACUUCUAAACCUACUUGCACAUUGGCAAGUCCUUUGCCCUCUUAUAGCAUCAGUUUUUUCAUUUGUAAAAUUCAGAUGAUAAUUGCACUUCCCUUGGGGGGCAGGUACUUGUAAGGAUUCAAUGACAAUAUAUGCAAAGUACUUUGCAAUCCUUAAAGCACUAUAUAAAUGCUAACUAUUUUUAUUGUUUAUUGUUUAAUGGUUGUGUAUUUAUUUUCUCUCUAGUCUACAUAUACUUAUACAUAUAUUUAAUGCCUUUCCAGUAGAAUGUAAGCUCCUUGAGAGUAAGGAUUGCUUCAUUCUUAUAUUCUUCCACUUUGCCUGACAGUGCUUUGCACAUAGUAGGUGUUUAAUAAAUGCUUGAUUGAUUGGCAUUUUGCUAAUAUUUGUAGCAUUACUAUUUCAUUGGUGGUAUGUAGGAUCUCUGAAGGUUUAAGCUGUGGUAAAUGACAGCCCUCUUGGUUUUUUUCAUUGAAGGGACUUAAGGGCGUGUGUGUGUGUGUGUGUGUGUGUGUGUGUGUGUGUGUGUGUGUGUUAAGGAAAUAAUUAUCUUUUUUUUUUCUUUCUCCUAGUCUUUUAUUUGAAGAGCAGAAUACCAUUUUGCAUUGGUAUACAUCAAAAUUGAUGGAUCAGGAAAGCAGCACCAACGAGAAUGUGGGCCAGGACCCACUCCUGUUACUGAAAACCCUUCAAACUCUAUGGACAAAGAGGGAGAUGCAGAAGGUAAGUCCCUUUCUUGGAGCCUGCCCCCUGCACAAUGGAGCUCCUAGCUGUAUGCAGAGCAUGUCCAGCCCAGCACAGGGCUGUCAGGACUGUGAUUGUGUUUGGUUACAUUACGCAGGGGGAAAACCCUGCCGAUUGGCAGGCUGGGGGAGGAGGCAGGUCUGUCUGCUUCUCAGCAGACCUGAGGCACAAAAGAGAGAAUUCCUUAGCACUAAGGCAAAGGGGCUGGAAGCCUAAAAUUUCAGCACUUUUUUUCUUCCUCAGCAUAAAACCAGAGUGAACCAAUUUGGAAUCCAUGAAGCAUGUUGUAAUUCUUUGUCCUUAAAUAGCACCUUUGGUAGAGGUCAAAGUACUUUAUUCUCAUUAACCUUCAUAACACUCUAGUGCAGUAGCUCAGGAACAAGGAUGAUUAUCUUAAUUUUCUUAAGAAACAGAGAAGUAACAGAUGGAUAGUGUUCAUCUUCUCAAGGCUACUCUCAAUCCAGUCUCUGCCUAGCUCUGUCUUGCAAAUUAGUUUUGAAAAAUACACAGGCCACAAUUAGUUUUUCUUAGCACACUGGAUUUUUGGUAGAAAGUGUUCCUUGUCUUGGAAUGAUGCCUGCUUUUGGAGAUUCCAGGCCUCAGGUUCUUUUAAACAUUAUCAACUUCCAUAUGUGUAGUUCAGUGGCCUAUCUCAGAGUAAAAAUGAUAAUAUUCAUCAUAAUAAUAGCCAUUAUUUAUUGUUUGCAAAGCCUUUUAUCUGUUCUGGGUUUUAGAUGGAAGAAGGCAUAUGUAGGUGCAUACAUUUACAUCGCUUCUCAAUAACCUCUCCACCAUCAAAGUGGAACAAAAGGACCAGGAACUACCCAAUUUCAUGUGAUUUCAACUCCCAACUCUAUUCAGAUAACUCCACAAUCAGUGCCUCCAGCUCUACUCUCAUUUUCCCCCUUCCUUUGUGGCUGUUACUCUAGUUCUCCUCCUCCUCCUGAUCAUCAUUCCUCCCACAGCAUACCAGGACUUAAGAUAUUAUGGACUGCUCCCAUGCAUCAUUAGCUAGUCUAGAGCAAUGACCCCUUCUGACCUAGUGAUGAAAACUGGCUCACACAGAGCUUCUGUUCUGCUGUAUCACCUGGAGCUCCUGAAAGACUCAGUAGCAUCCUCAACACCUACCACAUAAUUGAAAAAAACUUAAAAACAUCACCCCAGUAAGUACCUAGCAAUACACCUAGAGUAACAACAUUCUGAGGUGAUUUGGGGU